RNAcentral lists this transfer RNA (72 nucleotides) under Deltaproteobacteria bacterium. Its description in RNAcentral is "tRNA-Ile". It matches the Rfam family "tRNA". From Rfam's summary of the family: Transfer RNA (tRNA) molecules are approximately 80 nucleotides in length. Their secondary structure includes four short double-helical elements and three loops (D, anti-codon, and T loops). Lineage: Bacteria; Pseudomonadati; Myxococcota; Myxococcia. The record is from RNAcentral.
GGGCCCGUAGCUCAGCGGUAGAGCAUUCGGCUCAUAACCGAGCGUGCGCUGGUUCGAAUCCAGCCGGGCCCA